GCCGGGGUAAUACGAAGGGGGCUAGCGUUGCUCGGAAUUACUGGGCGUAAAGGGCGCGUAGGCGGACAGUUAAGUUGGGGGUGAAAGCCCGGGGCUCAACCUCGGAAAUGCCUUCAAUACUGGCUGUCUUGAGUACGGGAGAGGUGAGUGGAACUCCGAGUGUAGAGGUGAAAUUCGUAGAUAUUCGGAAGAACACCAGUGGCGAAGGCGACUCACUGGCCCGUUACUGACGCUGAGGCGCGAAAGCGUGGGGAGCAAACAGGAUUAGAUACCCUGGUAGUCCACGCCGUAAACGAUGAGUGCUAGUUGUCGGCAUGCAUGCAUGUCGGUGACGCAGCUAACGCAUUAAGCACUCCGCCUGGGGAGUACGGUCGCAAGAUUAAAACUCAAAGGAAUUGGCGGGGGAGCACGGUCAUACUGUUUUCCUGAG
This 430-nucleotide ribosomal RNA is filed under the name alpha proteobacterium SCGC AAA003-K19. RNAcentral describes it as "SSU rRNA". It matches the Rfam family "Bacterial small subunit ribosomal RNA", at positions 514 to 944 of the family's 1533-position model. The record is from RNAcentral. Lineage: Bacteria; Pseudomonadati; Pseudomonadota; Alphaproteobacteria.